Molecule: ribosomal RNA, 468 nt
Filed under: uncultured bacterium
Lineage: Bacteria
Description: partial 16S ribosomal RNA
Rfam family: Bacterial small subunit ribosomal RNA
Source: RNAcentral
GACGAACGCUGGCGGCGUGCUUAACACAUGCAAGUCGAACGGAAAGGCCCUGCUUUUGUGGGGUGCUCGAGUGGCGAACGGGUGAGUAACACGUGAGUAACCUGCCCUUGACUUUGGGAUAACUUCAGGAAACUGGGGCUAAUACCGGAUAGGAGCUCCUGCUGCAUGGUGGGGGUUGGAAAUUUUCGGCGGUUGGGGAUGGACUCGCGGCUUAUCAGCUUGUUGGUGGGGUAGUGGCUUACCAAGGCUUUGACGGGUAGCCGGCCUGAGAGGGUGACCGGCCACAUUGGGACUGAGAUACGGCCCAGACUCCUACGGGAGGCAGAAGUGGGGAAUAUUGCACAAUGGGCGGAAGCCUGAUGCAGCAACGCCGCGUGCGGGAUGACGGCCUUCGGGUUGUAAACCGCUUUCGCCUGUGACGAAGCGUGAGUGACGGUAAUGGGUAAAGAAGCACCGGCUAACUACGUG